GCGUUCAACAACCACCGCUCUUGGCCAAAAUCCGGCACGGUGGAAAUGAGACACCCUCCACCCUCCAUUCUUCUUCCAUCUGCUGUUCUUCAUUUCACGGUGCUCUUUUAGCAUUCUAAUCGAUGUAAUUGUUUCAUUUUAAAUUUCUUUCUUUCUGCGUAUGUUCUCCGAAAUCGAUUAUCCGAUCAAGCUUCUUCGAUCGCUCUGGCGUGCAAAUCUCAUCUGAGUGUUUUGUUUUUGUUAUGAUUCAUUAGUUUUUAGUGAGUGCUGAAUCUAUACGACGUUAUAGGUAAAGUAGCCAGCUCAUUGGCCUCUGGUUUUUUUCGGCCAUUGGCGAAGCAUUUGGAUCCUCACUUGAUUUUCUCUCUGGAAGGACCUGCAGUUUGUGGAUCAACAUGGGAUUUCAUAGAGAAUUUCUGCAUUGCCGAUUUGCUAAAGAUGGGCAUGAUCUUGAUUCUUUCAUACUUCGGUGAGUGAAACAAUUAAGUUUUUGUGUAUGUCAGUCCCUUGGUAUUCGUAAUAUGCUGGAAUUUCUCUGUUUUCCAUGGUUGGGAGAAAACAGCCUUACAGCUUAAAAUCUUGCAUAUACAAGCACUCUUAGUUUACAUCUGGAUCAUAUUUUAUUACAACCAAAGCUAUGGGGUUUAUCGAUUAAUCCUUGAUGUUGAUGUCGAACCCUUCGAUUUCUGGAUAUAUCGACGGAUAUUUAAUCAUUGAUUACAACUAUUGAUGUUCUAUUAACUUCCUAAUGUACCCGUGGUUGUAAAUUGUCAUAAGUUUUUUAUUUAAUUUAGUUAUUAACUCUCAUCGAUUUAUAUCGAAAUUUGAUAGAGUUUUGUGUCUCACAUUACAUUUCUUGAGUGACAUUUUGGUGAGAGUCUUUGUAGUGUAAGAGUGAGGUAUUCACUUGUAACACUUUGAUUAUAUUAGUGAUUGGUUGCUACCCAUGGAUGUAGGAGAAUUUCUUCUCUCCGAACCACGUAAAUAUUUUAGUAUCUCUCUGUGUAAUUUCGUUCAUUGUGGUUGUGAGUACCUUCGUUCCGCUUUCACUACAACAAUCGGUAUCAUAGUUUUGUGGUUGUAGCAUUUGGCGCACAACACCCGACUCGUUUUUUUUGUAGAACAUUUCUAGUUCAAUAGUUGAAGCUAAUUUGAUAUGGUAUCGAAGCAUGCAAUUGUUUCUUCUACGUUUUGAAAUGUAUAGUUCAUUUCUCUCAACAUUUAUCGGUCAAAUUAUAGUUGCUGUAUAGUUGUGUAAUGAAGAAUAGGUUCAUCCAUCUCCUAUGCAUGUAUUGCCAUUUAUUUAGUUCAUCUCUCAUUUAUUUGGCUCAUAACCCUUUUGGUUAUCUUCCAUUGCGAUUGAUUCAUGUAUAACAUUAAUAUUACUAUGUCUAUCUAAAGGCUUGUCUAUCAUUGUUUUGAGGUGUGGAGUUAUUGUCAUUUUGUAUUUGCUUAGAGGCAAUUAGGAGAAACUUUGUAGGAGAGACUUUGUAGUGUGAGAGUGACAAAGAUACACUUGUUAACACUUUGGUUACCGUGAUUAGCUACCACCCGUGGAUGUAAGGGAAUUUCUUCUCUCCGAACCACGUAAAUCUUUGUCUCUUUGUUUAAUUUCUGUUUGUGGGUGUGUGAGCGCAAUCGAUCUUGCUUCCGCUUCCGCUGCAACAAUAAUGAUAAUGACAACUAAGUUCAUAUGGUAUGGGAAGAUGCAGCUAUUUUCCGUGUUAUGGUAUGUGGUAACAUCUAGUUAUCUGAUCGAAGUUGGUUAUGACUUACUGAUGUAAUUGUAAUGGGAUUUGGGAAUACAAUCUACUGUUUGUCCCCUAAUAAUGUCUUUUACUUCUUUACCUGGUAUGACUCUAAAUCAUAGGCUCACAAGAUCAAAAGAAACUUCUUCGGAAAGGGAUCCAAAUCCAGUUUAGAUUUGUUUAGUUACAAAUGAUGGUAUUUUACUCCUAUGUUUAUUACAUAAAAUUGGCGUCUUCGGCUGCAUCGGUCGGGUUCGGGGGGGCUCUGCAGAAUGAUAUGGACUUGUUUAGCUUGCCAUUGUCAAAAGAACAAGAAGGCAGGCACUUUAGAAGAAGGGACCUGGAAGAAAAGUUUGAAAGUGAAGAAUGAAAACAUUGGCAUGGGUCAACAAGUGAUUCGAGCAAUGUCCCCAAACAUGUCGAGUCGAGAACUAGCAGAGGGUGUCUCGUAGAUGGAUGAGGAACCACAGAGGUUUUCAAGUGAGAAAGUCGUCGAGGUCGAAAAGUCAUGCAAUUGAAGUUAAGGAGCGGUAGGGUGUUGGUCUAUGGUAAGCACAGAAGAAAAUCUGUUGAGGUUGGGACUCGUUUGAAUGAGAUUCAUAGCUUGGAUGUUAGACGAACACGACUCUCCAUAAUGGUAUGAUAUUGUCCACUUCAAGCGUAAGCUCUCAUGGUUUUGCU
Molecule: RNA transcript, 2429 nt
Organism: Cucurbita pepo subsp. pepo (vegetable marrow)
Lineage: Eukaryota; Viridiplantae; Streptophyta; Magnoliopsida; Cucurbitales; Cucurbitaceae
Source: RefSeq, a predicted model, not a curated record